RNAcentral lists this ribosomal RNA (240 nucleotides) under uncultured bacterium. Its description in RNAcentral is "partial 16S ribosomal RNA". It matches the Rfam family "Bacterial small subunit ribosomal RNA", at positions 524 to 762 of the family's 1533-position model. The record is from RNAcentral.
UACGAAGGGGGCGAGCGUUGUUCGGAUUUACUGGGCGUAAAGGGCGCGCAGGCGGCUCAUUUUGUCAGGCGUGAAAGCCCGGGCUUAACCUGGGAGGUGCGUUUGAUACGGAUGGGCUAGAGUUCGGGAGAGGAGAGUGGAAUUCCCAGUGUAGAGGUGAAAUUCGUAGAUAUUGGGAAGAACACCGGUGGCGAAGGCGGCUCUCUGGACCGAGACUGACGCUGAGGCGGCGAAAAGCGU